This is an RNA transcript of Mangifera indica (mango), 2482 nucleotides long. It is a transcript of the gene named inner membrane protein PPF-1, chloroplastic-like, with no coding region annotated. The transcript has 14 exons. Lineage: Eukaryota; Viridiplantae; Streptophyta; Magnoliopsida; Sapindales; Anacardiaceae. The record is from RefSeq and is a predicted model, not a curated record.
AUUCGGAAAAUCACUUCAGAGGCUUCCCCUCAUCUCCACCUCUCAUGAGAAGCUGAGCACAGAGUUCCACAGCCCAUGGCGAAGACUCUUAUUUCAUCACCACCGUUCAUCGGCGUGCCUCUUCCAGCACCAUCAUCACCAUCAUCACUCUUUCGCCAUGGUCUCCACCCGCUUCAUCACCGUAGACUCGCAGCUACCAGAGUGAAAUUCAGCUUCCAAGAAAUUCCUCCAAUUCAUUCCGUAGGCUCUUCAGUUGACUUCAACUUAAUUUAUACUCGAGCCGAGAGCUUGCUAUACACGCUCGCAGAUGCUGCUGUUUCCCUUGAUUCUGCUUCUGCAGGAGCCACCUCCUCGUCAGCAGACGCUGCUUCGCAGAAAAAUGGCGGCUGGUUUGGCUUUAUCUCCGAAUCCAUGGAGUUUGUUCUCAAGGUGUUGAAGGAUGGGCUUUCAGCUGUGCAUGUACCUUAUGCCUACGGCUUUGCUAUUAUUAUGUUGACAGUUAUUGUCAAAGUUGCUACAUUUCCCUUAACAACGAAACAGGUGGAAUCAUCGUUAGCUAUGCAAAACCUUCAACCAAAGAUCAAAGCUAUUCAGCAAAGAUAUGCUGGUAAUCAGGAGAGAAUACAACUUGAGACAUCUCGGCUAUAUAGGGAGGCAGGGGUUAAUCCAUUAGCAGGUUGUUUGCCAACAUUGGUUACUAUACCUGUCUGGAUAGGUCUGUAUCAAGCACUUUCAAAUGUUGCAAAUGAGGGACUGUUAACUGAAGGUUUCUUUUGGAUACCUUCACUGGGUGGGCCGACUACAAUUGCUGCUCGACAAAGUGGAUCUGGCAUUUCUUGGCUCUUGCCAUUUGUGGAUGGCCAUCCACCGUUGGGUUGGCAAGACACGGCUGCAUACCUUGUUUUACCUGUCCUUCUUGUUGUCUCUCAAUAUGUCUCAAUGGAGCUCAUGAAGCCUCCCCAGACAGAUGAUCCAGCUCAAAAGAACACACUUCUUGUUUUCAAGUUUCUUCCACUUAUGAUUGGUUACUUUUCCUUGUCUGUCCCAUCGGGGUUAUCAAUUUACUGGUUCACAAAUAAUGUCCUCAGCACAGCACAGCAAGUAUGGUUGCGCAAAUUAGGUGGUGCAAAGCCUGUUGUUAAUGAGAAUGCAAGUGGAAUCAUCUCUGCUGGACGUGCAAAACGAUCAGCUUCUCAGCCAUCUCGGGCUGGUGAUAGGUUCAGGCAAUUAAAAGAGGAAGAGAAGAGAAAGAAAUUGACCAAGGCGUUACCAGAGGAAGAGGUUUCUGCAUCUGAUUCGGAAGAGGAAUCUGAUGUUGAGUCUACAGAUAAGGAUGAUGGGGUUCUGGAAGGGGCAUAUGCUUCAAGUGUAAGCAAACAGGCACCAGAUGCCUCUCGGCCAAGAAGAAGCAAGCGUUCAAAGCGGAAGCGUGCUGUAUGAGAAAACAGAAACUGAUUUGUUUGUAGUUUCAUGUUCUUCGACAACUGAGAGUAGCAGCUCGAAGGGGAAGUCUGGUGGCGACAACUGUAUCUCAAUAAGCCAUGGGUAAAGAAACUCAAAAGAGAUCCAAUCCCUUGCGACAAACCACACCUAUUGAUUAGGUUUAUCCGACCUGUAAGCACAAGAGAUUAUUUCUGCAACCCAGGGCACUGAAAGGAUAAACUGGAGACAAAAAUAGUUUAAACUCCGCAUGAAUUGCAAAAUACAAUUAUGUGAGCUGUGAAUUGUCUAGCACCAGUGGCUGAUGGUACAUCAAAAACGGACUGGGGUUUCUCGUACUUUCAGAAAAUGGCCCACGUGGAAAGCCCAAUUCAUGUAAAGCUUCAUUAAAGUGCAAAGAGGUUAUCAGAUAAUUAUUUAUUUUAAUUAUGAUAAGAAAUAGCAGAUAAAUAUGAAGAUUUUGAGUUUUCCUAAAGAAAGUAUGCAGAAGGCGACAAGCCGACAGGGACCUCACCUCCUGCACCGCUCAGAUUACGUCUUUUCACUUUAGCUAGCACUUUAGCCAUCUAGCUUCUCGUGACAAACCGCUCCACCACUUUGGAUGGUCUUCAACUUGGAGCAUGCAAAUCCCUGACUGCUUGAAAUUUGGAGCGUUGAAGUUUCUUUUUAAUGGCGAACGUCGAGGUGCUUUAGUGCUUACUAGAAUCUAUCCCAGAGCCCGAGGCCCUUUUGCCCAUACUCUUUUCUUUCGGUCUGACUGGUGUCCUCAUCUCAAUGCUGACCGCUACACCAAUCUGGAACCAAAUGACAAUCCAAACGAGCAGGAGUAGCGUAGAUUUGACACAUUUUUCACAACAAAGGGUAGUCCAGUCAUUUUAUUAAAUAUAACCAAAAGUACUACUACCUCUGCCUCAUUUGCUAUAAGAAGCAACCAGAACCUUUCAGUUUUCCUCACCACUCGAUUUCCUUCUGCAGCAAUGGCUAUUCUUUCAAGUUCCUCUGUCACAACAGCUACUAUUCUUUUCCUGUGCACCCUCGCCAA